This 356-nucleotide ribosomal RNA is filed under the name uncultured bacterium. Its description in RNAcentral is "partial 16S ribosomal RNA". It matches the Rfam family "Bacterial small subunit ribosomal RNA", at positions 355 to 727 of the family's 1533-position model. The record is from RNAcentral.
UGGGGAAUAUUGGACAAUGGGGGGCAACCCUGAUCCAGCAAUGCCGCGUGUGUGAAGAAGGUCUUCGGAUUGUAAAGCACUUUCGACGGGGACGAUGAUGACGGUACCCGUAGAAGAAGCCCCGGCUAACUUCGUGCCAGCAGCCGCGGUAAUACGAAGGGGGCUAGCGUUGCUCGGAAUGACUGGGCGUAAAGGGCGUGUAGGCGGUUUACACAGUCAGAUGUGAAAUCCCCGGGCUUAACCUGGGAGCUGCAUUUGAUACGUGUAGACUAGAGUGUGAGAGAGGGUUGUGGAAUUCCCAGUGUAGAGGUGAAAUUCGUAGAUAUUGGGAAGAACACCGGUGGCGAAGGCGGCAA